GGAUCCAGACUUUGAUUAUGGCUCAGGAUGAACGCUAGCUACAGGCUUAACACAUGCAAGUCGAGGGGCAGCGGGAUUGAAGCUUGCUUCAAUUGCCGGCGACCGGCGCACGGGUGAGUAACGCGUAUCCAAUCUUCCGUACACUCAGGGAUAGCCUUUCGAAAGAAAGAUUAAUACCUGAUAGUAUCUUAAGCACACAUGUAAUUAAGAUUAAAGAUUUAUCGGUGUACGAUGGGGAUGCGUUCCAUUAGGUAGUAGGCGGGGUAACGGCCCACCUAGCCAACGAUGGAUAGGGGUUCUGAGAGGAAGGUCCCCCACAUUGGAACUGAGACACGGUCCAAACUCCUACGGGAGGCAGCAGUGAGGAAUAUUGGUCAAUGGACGAGAGUCUGAACCAGCCAAGUAGCGUGAAGGAUGAAGGUCCUACGGAUUGUAAACUUCUUUUAUAAGGGAAUAAACCCUCCCACGUGUGGGAGCUUGUAUGUACCUUAUGAAUAAGCAUCGGCUAACUCCGUGCCAGCAGCCGCGGUAAUACGGAGGAUGCGAGCGUUAUCCGGAUUUAUUGGGUUUAAAGGGAGCGCAGACGGGUCGUUAAGUCAGCUGUGAAAGUUUGGGGCUCAACCUUAAAAUUGCAGUUGAUACUGGCGUCCUUGAGUGCGGUUGAGGUGUGCGGAAUUCGUGGUGUAGCGGUGAAAUGCUUAGAUAUCACGAAGAACUCCGAUUGCGAAGGCAGCACACUAAUCCGUAACUGACGUUCAUGCUCGAAAGUGUGGGUAUCAAACAGGAUUAGAUACCCUGGUAGUCCACACGGUAAACGAUGGAUACUCGCUGUUGGCGAUAUACUGUCAGCGGCUUAGCGAAAGCGUUAAGUAUCCCACCUGGGGAGUACGCCGGCAACGGUGCAACUCAAAGG
Molecule: ribosomal RNA, 913 nt
Filed under: uncultured Bacteroidota bacterium
Lineage: Bacteria; Pseudomonadati; Bacteroidota
Description: bacterial SSU rRNA
Rfam family: Bacterial small subunit ribosomal RNA
Source: RNAcentral